RNAcentral lists this long non-coding RNA (316 nucleotides) under Ictidomys tridecemlineatus (thirteen-lined ground squirrel). RNAcentral describes it as "lncRNA (ENSSTOG00000029833.1)". Lineage: Eukaryota; Metazoa; Chordata; Mammalia; Rodentia; Sciuridae. The record is from RNAcentral.
UUGUUUUAAUUUUUUUUUUUUUUUGGCUAGAAGUGGAUGUCUCUGACAUUUGUGAGGCCCUAGAAGAGAAUCCUAUGAAAUAAAGUGUUAAGAAUACUGGUGAAAAAAUCUAAAUUCUUUGGAUGAAAUGGAUCACAAAGGUAUUUGUUGAAUUCACAUGAUCAAGACACUGAGGACAAUGCAAAAAUGAUGAGAGAUGGUACCCAGCCUGAUGGAACUUACACUCGGUUCGGGAGAUGAAUCAUAGCCACUUGAAAAGUUAACUACAUUUCAAGGUAAUUUUGCCAUAAGUGAUGAAAGUAGCAUAAAGAAUCAG